RNAcentral lists this long non-coding RNA (288 nucleotides) under Mytilus galloprovincialis (Mediterranean mussel). The record is from RNAcentral. Lineage: Eukaryota; Metazoa; Mollusca; Bivalvia; Mytilida; Mytilidae.
GUGUGAGUGCCAAUGAGACAACUCUCCAUCCAAAUAACAAUUUAAAAAAAAGUAAACCAUUAUAGGUCAAUGUACGGCCUUCAACACGGAGCCUUGGCUCACACCGAACAACAAGCUAUAAAGGGCCCAAAAUUACUAGUGUAAAACCAUUCAAACGGGAAAACCAACGGUCUAAUCUAUAUAAAAAUUUAAAAAAACGAGAAACGAGAAACGCGUAUAAAUUACAUAAACAAACGACAACUACUGUACAUCAGAUUCCUGACUUAGGACAGUUGCAAACAUUUGCAG